This 2763-nucleotide long non-coding RNA is filed under the name Homo sapiens (human). RNAcentral's name for it is "HSALNT0380942". The record is from RNAcentral. Lineage: Eukaryota; Metazoa; Chordata; Mammalia; Primates; Hominidae.
UGAGAAGCUGCGAAGAUGGCGGAGUAAGGCGUGCCGCUGCAAACUGGCCUCUGGGCCGGGGGCGAGCAGCCCCCGGGAGGCCGAGUGCAUCUGUUGGACCGUGCGAGGAGAAGAAAAAAAAUAUCGGCCAGAGGAGAGGAACUAACCGAACAUUCUUCCUCCCUACCUUAUAGAGGGGAGUGGUCAUCUACACUAAAGCAAAGUGUUAGGCGCGUCCGUGCGAAGAGACCACCAAACAGGCUUUGUGUUCCUUAUCACAGGAAGAAAAUUUUCCUUGACCUUUAGGUGCUUUUAUAUUCAUCUCAAAAACAAAAUUCUGAACUCAGGACUUGGCAAGUAAGUAAUUGUGGGCUAAUCGUUCCAAAUACUGUUUAAGUAGCUUGAAAACAGGUACAUAGAAGUGGAACAAUAAGCCGUUAGCUUCAGCAGAAGACGAACAUGAAAAAUGACUGUAAGCUAUUGAAAUUUAAGUUAAAUCUUUUAUUUUUCAACAAAAGAAAUGUAUUAAAUAAAAAGGAGUAAUCUUGAUCAUUUGCUCAAACUACCAAUAAUUUUCACUGUCUAAAGAAAACAGACACAUAUUUAAUUAGAUUGAAGGAAAUCAAAUGAUUAAAAAAUAGGCCUGGCCCGGUGGCUCACGCCUGUAAUCCCAGCAGUUUGGGAGGCCGAGGUGGGCAGAUACUUGAGGUCAGGAGUUUGAGACCAGCCUGGGCAACAUGGGGGAACCCUAUCUCUACAAAAAAUACAAAAAUUAAGCAGGUGUGGUGGCACGCGCCUGUAAUCCCAGCUACUUGGGAGACUGAGGCAGGAGAAUUGCUUGAACUUGGGAGGCGGAGGCUGCAGCGAGCCGAGAUUGCGCCACUGCGCUCCAUCCUGGGCCACAGAGACAGACUCCAUCUCACCCAAAAAUAACGAUUAAAAAAAAAUGUUACUGGGUGGUUUUAUUUAAAUAAAUUUUGUGUAUAUUUCAGGUAUACAACAUGAUGUUUUGGGAUGCAUAUAGAUAGUAAAAAGGUUUCUACAGUGAAGUAAAUUAACAUCCAUUGUCUCACAUAGCUAUUUUGUUUUUGUGGCAACAGCUAAAAUCUCAUUUAGCAUGGAUCCUGUUUACAGUAUAAUUUUAUUACCUAUAGUUGUCAUGUUGUACAUUAGAUCGUUAGACUUGUUCAGCCUACGUACCUGUUCCUUUAUAUUCUCUGACCUAUAUCUCUUCCUUUACUAACUCCCACAUCACUGUUUUGUUCUCUAACUCUGUAUAUUUGAUUUUUUAAAAAAAUUUCACAUGUAAAUGAGAUUGUGCAAUGUUUUUCUUUCAGUCCUCCUGACUCAUCUAUGCUGUGACAAAUGGCAAAAUAUUUUGUUUUUUUUUUUUUUUGAGACAGUCUUGCUGUCUUAGCACUUGCUCUGUCACUGCACUCAGGCUGGAGUGCAGUGGUGCUAUCUCAGCUCACUGCAACCUCUGCCUCCCUAAUUCAAGCGAUUCUUUUGCCUCUGCCUCCCAAGUAGCCAGGAUUACAGGUGUGCGCCACCACGCCUGGUUAAUUUUUAUAUUUUUUUAGUAGAGACAGGAUUUCACCAUUUUGGCCAGGCUGGUCUCAAACUCUUGACUUAAUCCCAAAGUGCUGGGAUUACAGGCAUAUGCCACUGCGCCUGGCCAAGAUCUCAUUCUUUUUUAGGGCUGAGUAACAUAUGCCAUCAUAUAUAUGCACUGUAGUUUCUACAGUUUAUCCAUUCAUCCAUUGAUGAUGGACAGUUAGGUUUUUUCUGUAUCUUGGCUAUUGUGAAUAAUGUUCCACUGAACAUAGGAGUGCAGACAUCUUUAUGAAGUGAUUUCAUGUUUUUUGGUUAUAUGCCCAGAAGAGGGAGUGCUGGGUUAUGUGGUGGUUCCAUUUUUAAUUUCUUUAGAAACCUCCCAGCUGGGCGCGGUGGCUCAUGCCUGUAAUCCUGGCUACUCAGGAGGCUGUGGCAGGAGUAUCGCUUGAACCUGGGAGGCGGAGGUUGCAGUGAACUGAGAUUGCACCACUGCACUCCAGCCUGGGCGACAGAGUGAGACUCCGUCUCAGAAAAAUAAAAAACAACUUUGGACAUAGAGGAGUUGGGGGCAGAGGGGGGAGGAUGAGAGAAUUUUCCAUGUAACUCCUUUUCCUUAAGAAAAAGAAGCAAAAAUCCCUCAUGCAGUGCCAUCUGACUUUAUGGUGUUUCACAUUAUAUAGUUACUUUUUUUAAUAAACGCAUAAGAUUAACUCUUCCUGCAACCCAAGGUGGAUACUUGGAUGUUUGAUUUUUAUUUAUUUAUUUAUUUAUUUUUUGAGGCAGUCUCUCUCUGUUGCCCAGGCUGGAGUGAUGCGUGAUUUCUGCUCACUGCAGUCUCUCCCACCCGGGUUCAAGCGAUUCUCCUGCCUCAGCCUCCCAAGUAGCUAGGAUUACAGGCGCGCACCACCACGCUCAGCCUGAUUUCUAGGCUGAAAAGGCUGGGACUCAGGUACUUUCCCCAGUUGGGACUGAACUUUCUCAUCAGAGAAUGGGCCUCAGAAGCAAUGUUCCCAAACUUGUGGUUGGGUCAUCGUGGAAAAGAAACCUCAAAUAAGAAAAAUAAUUACAAUAAGAAAUGGAUUUUCUUUUUUCCCACAACAGUUAUACAUUAUAAAGAACAGACUGUCGUAGAAAACUGUCUUUGCUUCCAAAUCAGCAGAGGACCAUUGUAUGUAUUGUCAGGUCUUUAUAUAAGAGUGAAACCUUUAUUUAUGCUUCUUGUGAGUAGAG